Molecule: non-coding RNA, 113 nt
Organism: Canis lupus familiaris (dog)
Lineage: Eukaryota; Metazoa; Chordata; Mammalia; Carnivora; Canidae
Source: Rfam
UGUGUUGAUUUCAACAGCACAUACACUAAAAUAAAAUUGGAACGAUACAGAGAAAAUUACCAUGGCCUCUGCUUGAGGAUGACACGCAGAUUCGUGAAGCGUUCCAUAUUUUA